This 2409-nucleotide ribosomal RNA is filed under the name Triticum aestivum (bread wheat). Its description in RNAcentral is "partial small subunit ribosomal RNA". The record is from RNAcentral. Lineage: Eukaryota; Viridiplantae; Streptophyta; Magnoliopsida; Poales; Poaceae.
AUGUCUAGAUUCGUUUUUAGUCUUAUAACCCUCCUUCCACUUAUCUCACUUCUUGCGCUGCGCUCCUGUGCUGCAGCAUCGGGAGGACACAUGCUGGGCGCCGGGUCAUCCCUGUCCGUGGAAGACCACGAGCGGCCCUUCCUGGUGUCGCCGGACGCCACCUUCUCCUGCGGCUUCCUCCCGGCCGUCGACGUCGACAACGCCUUCUACUUCUCCAUCUGGUUCACCGCGGCCACGGACAGGACCGCCGUCUGGACGGCCAACCCCGGCGCCCCCGUGAACGGCCGGAUUUCCCGUGUAUCCUUCGGUGCCGACGGCAAGCUAGCCCUCGCCGACGCCAACGGGACGACUGUGUGGGACAGCAAGGCAGCCGGCAACAAGUACUUCACUGUCUCCCUCCUCGACACCGGUAAUCUUCGGGUCGUGGACCCGUCCACCGGCCGUGCCGUGUGGCAGAGCUUCGAGUGGCCGACGGACACCCUGCUGCCGUCGCAGGCGCUGACCAAGGACACGAAGCUCGUCGCCGGCUACUACGCCCUCUACUACGACAACGACAACGUGCUGCGGCUCCUGUACGACGGCCCGGAGAUCGCCAGCAUCUACUGGCCUAACCCGGGCAUAAGCGUGUUCGACAACGGCCGGACCAACUACAACAGCUCACGCAUCGGCGUCCUCGACGACACCGGUGUGUUCCUCUCCAGCGACAACCUGCGAGUCGAGGCCUCCGACCUGGGCGCCUCCGGCGUCAAGAGGCGGCUAACCAUCGAGCAGGACGGAAACGUGAGGAUGUACAGCCUCGACGCGGCCGGAGGAUGGACUGUCACGUGGGCUGCGGUCAAGCAGCCGUGCUCCGUCCGUGGGCUGUGCGGCAAGAACGCCGUCUGCGAGUACCAGCCGUUCCUCCGGUGCUCCUGCGCGCCGGGGUACGAGAUGGUGGACCGCCGGGACUGGAGGAAGGGCUGCAACCCGACCUUCAGCCUCCCCGCCACCAACUGCAGCACGUCGGAACAGCGGUUCACGUUCGUCAAGGUAGCGCACACUGACUUCUACGGCUACGACCUCGGGUUCAACCAGUCCGUCACGUUCCAAUACUGCAAGAGCAUCUGCUUGAGUAUGUGCUCCUGCGCCGCCUUCCAAUACAGGACGGAUGGCAAGGGCGGAUGCUAUCCCAAGGGCAUCCUGUUCAACGGUUACACGUCGCCCACACCCGAAGGGACCAUAUAUCUCAAGCUGCCUAGCGACCUCAACGCCCCGGCAACGCCGCCACCCGCGGUCCUCGACUGCGAUCAAAAUGCCGCCAUCGUCCCGCCAACAUACGCGGACACGUACGGGACACCAAGCAGCGGCCCAAAUUUGUCCUAUCUUUUUUGGUUCGCCGCGGUGCUAGGAUUUCUCGAGGCCCUCUUCAUCGCCACGGCGUGGUGGUUCCUGUCAGGCCAGGAGAGCAUGCCCAGUUCGCUGGUGGCCGGCUACCGGCUGGUCAUGGGGACCCAGUUCAGAAGGUUCACGUAUCGAGAGCUCAAGAAAGCGACCGGAAACUUCAACGAAGAGCUCGGUCGCGGCGGUUCCGGCGUGGUGUACCGCGGUGUGCUUGACAAGACCACCGUGCUGGCGGUGAAGGAGCUAACAAACGUGGUGCAGGGCGAGGAGGAGUUCUGGGCGGAGAUGGCGGUGUUUGGGAGGAUCAACCAUAUCAACUUGGUGAGGACCUGGGGGUUCUGCUCCGAGGGAAAGCACAAGCUGCUGGUGUACGAGUACGUGGAGAAUGGGUCGCUGGACAGGCACCUGUUCGGCGAGGACAUCGGCAAGGCACUGGCAUGGAGAGACCGGUUCAAGAUCGCACUGGGCGCGGCCAAGGGCCUAGCCUACCUCCACCACGAGUGCCUGGAGUGGGUCAUCCACUGUGACGUCAAGCCGGAGAACAUCCUGCUCACUCGAGACCUCGACCCAAAGAUCGCCGACUUCGGGCUGUCCAAGCUAUCCGGGAGGAAAGCCGUCGCCGACGGCAUGCAACUCUCCCAGAUGAGGGGGACGACAGGGUACAUGGCACCCGAGUGGGUGCUGGGGCUACCGAUCGACGCAAAGGUCGAUGUUUACAGCUAUGGCAUUGUGCUUCUGGAGAUCCUGAUGGGAAGCCGGAUAACUGAACAGACGACAGUGGACCGCGCCGAGCGGCUGCAGAUGAGCCAAAUUGUGCAGGCCCUGAAGCAGGUGGUGGCGAGUGGAGACGUCAUGUCGUUGAUGGAUAGCAGGCUGAACGGGCUGUUCAACCCUCAACAAGCCAUGGAAAUGUUGAAGAUCUCCUUAUCGUGCAUGGAGGAGAGGAGCAGCAGGCCGACCAUGGACGACAUUUUUAAAGCUCUUAUAGCAUGCGAUGACGAGGACGAACACCCUGCGUACUUGUCGUGA